CUAAGAAAGAAAAACAAGAUCUAUCCUCCCAGGUUAACGCAUAUUUUUGAAAGGGACUUCAAGCCUGACAUCAACAUGAAAAUGCUGUCAACUGUCAUGGUAAUAUUUGCAGCACAAAUUAUCAUUGACAUGUGUGCAGCGAGGCGUAUAUGGCCACUCACUAUCGUAAACAACUAUACCUGUCAGUACGGAUAUUACGGCCUGCCUGAUGGUAUUUGCCUGGACUUGAAUCGCCCUUGCGUUAGCUUAUGCUGCAAAGCACCAAGUUCUCAACUUGCAAUUAGUGGGUGCCCUCUCCCGGAUGACUUCGAUAAUAAAACAUUGGAUGGAUACGGCUAUUGGCCCAAUUGCUGCGUUAAAAGAACCUUCUUACCACAACCACGACUACCUCCAGUUGCUUUAUACUAUGCUUACAACGGAACGUGGAGAUACCGCUACGAAAACGCUCCAACUGCUGAAUAAAGAUUUUUGAAUGAUAAAAAAA
Molecule: long non-coding RNA, 484 nt
Organism: Dermacentor silvarum
Lineage: Eukaryota; Metazoa; Arthropoda; Arachnida; Ixodida; Ixodidae
Exons: 4
Source: RefSeq, a predicted model, not a curated record